Mya arenaria is the source of this 204-nucleotide long non-coding RNA. RefSeq lists it as uncharacterized. The transcript is spliced from 3 exons. The record is from RefSeq and is a predicted model, not a curated record. NCBI's taxonomy places the organism in Eukaryota, Metazoa, Mollusca, Bivalvia, Myida, Myidae.
CAGGCAAACCAAAACAGAAUGUAUGCAGAGAAUGAUAGUCUAAUGCUCAAGAGUGAAAAUGGCAGAACAGACAGCAGCAAGGGCAAGGGCUUCCCUACCAAAGACAGCAGAAACUGAAACUUUAGCCGAAGUAGCAGACCAUAUGACGGUGGCAGUUGUGGAAUAUACAAACCAGAGUGUGUAUAUUGGAGAAAUGGAGGGAAA